Juglans microcarpa x Juglans regia is the source of this 225-nucleotide long non-coding RNA. RefSeq lists it as uncharacterized. The record is from RefSeq and is a predicted model, not a curated record. The transcript is spliced from 2 exons. NCBI's taxonomy places the organism in Eukaryota, Viridiplantae, Streptophyta, Magnoliopsida, Fagales, Juglandaceae.
UAAGCGCAGAGCCUCAUUUUUAGAAGUUGUCGUAUAUGUACCAAGUGACAUAUAUGGGAGUAAACAUUUGGUAGAUCUUUGAGCUCCCACCGGUCAUGGCUGCGAAAAGAGCAAAGACAGAGAGAGAGAGAGAGAGAGAGAGUAAUCGAGGCUCAGAUUCGCCCUUUCUCAGACAAAAGGAGAAAGGAAAUCCACCGGCCAUGGCUGCAACAAGGAGCUGCAACG